AAUCCGAGAAUUUCACCUCUGGCAGUUGACUAGGAAUGCCCUCGACCGUGCUUAUCGGUAUAGAAAACACCCCCGAACAAACAAAGGGGCGUUCCCAUACUCUUGUUAUUCUAUGGUAAAUCGUUCAGGGCGGCAGCCUGCGUGGAACACGCCGAUUCACUCAAAGUAAGAUGCAUGAGACACCCACAUACGAAACGCAUGGGAUGCGCCCAGCACGCUCUCUGCUGAAAGUGGUUGAACGUCAUAGACGCCAAACCACCCGAGCAGAUGAAGGUCGACUACGAACUUUUUAACUGCAACAACUUUAAUAUACGCUAUUGGAGCUGGAAUUACCGCAC
RNAcentral lists this unclassified non-coding RNA (338 nucleotides) under uncultured bacterium. RNAcentral describes it as "contains 16S-23S intergenic spacer region". The record is from RNAcentral.